Molecule: ribosomal RNA, 466 nt
Filed under: uncultured bacterium
Lineage: Bacteria
Description: bacterial SSU rRNA
Rfam family: Bacterial small subunit ribosomal RNA
Source: RNAcentral
GACCAGACUCCUACGGGAGGCAGCAGUGAGGAAUAUUGGUCAAUGGGCGAGAGCCUGAACCAGCCAAGUCGCGUGAGGGAAGACGGUCCUAUGGAUUGUAAACCUCUUUUGCCGGGGAGCAGAGGUCCGGACGUGUCCGGGCCGGGAGAGUACCCGGAGAAAAAGCAUCGGCUAACUCCGUGCCAGCAGCCGCGGUAAUACGGAGGAUGCGAGCGUUAUCCGGAUUUAUUGGGUUUAAAGGGUGCGUAGGCGGGCAUUUAAGCCGGCGGUCAAAUGUCGGGGCUCAACCCCGGCCUGCCGUCGGAACUGGGUGCCUUGAGUGGGCGAGAAGUAUGCGGAAUGCGUGGUGUAGCGGUGAAAUGCAUAGAUAUCACGCAGAACCCCGAUUGCGAAGGCAGCAUACCGGCGCCCUACUGACGCUGAGGCACGAAAGUGCGGGUAUCGAACAGGAUUAGAUACCCGGGUA